Molecule: ribosomal RNA, 1387 nt
Filed under: Pseudomonas putida
Lineage: Bacteria; Pseudomonadati; Pseudomonadota; Gammaproteobacteria; Pseudomonadales; Pseudomonadaceae
Description: 16S ribosomal RNA
Rfam family: Bacterial small subunit ribosomal RNA
Source: RNAcentral
UGCAAGUCGAGCGGAUGACGGGAGCUUGCUCCUUGAUUCAGCGGCGGACGGGUGAGUAAUACCUAGGAAUCUGCCUGAUAGUGGGGGACAACGUUUCGAAAGGAACGCUAAUACCGCAUACGUCCUACGGGAGAAAGCAGGGGACCUUCGGGCCUUGCGCUAUCAGAUGAGCCUAGGUCGGAUUAGCUAGUUGGUGAGGUAAUGGCUCACCAAGGCGACGAUCCGUAACUGGUCUGAGAGGAUGAUCAGUCACACUGGAACUGAGACACGGUCCAGACUCCUACGGGAGGCAGCAGUGGGGAAUAUUGGACAAUGGGCGAAAGCCUGAUCCAGCCAUGCCGCGUGUGUGAAGAAGGUCUUCGGAUUGUAAAGCACUUUAAGUUGGGAGGAAGGGCAGUAAGCUAAUACCUUGCUGUUUUGACGUUACCGACAGAAUAAGCACCGGCUAACUCUGUGCCAGCAGCCGCGGUAAUACAGAGGGUGCAAGCGUUAAUCGGAAUUACUGGGCGUAAAGCGCGCGUAGGUGGUUCGUUAAGUUGGAUGUGAAAUCCCCGGGCUUUUCAACCUGGGAACUGCAUCCAAAACUGGCGAGCUAGAGUAGGGCAGAGGGUGGUGGAAUUUCCUGUGUAGCGGUGAAAUGCGUAGAUAUAGGAAGGAACACCAGUGGCGAGAGGCGACCACCUGGGCUCAUACUGACACUGAGGUGCGAAAGCGUGGGGAGCAACACAGGAUUAGAUACCCUGGUAGUCCACGCCGUAAACGAUGUCAACUAGCCGUUGGAAUCCUUGAGAUUUUAGUGGCGCAGUUAACGCAUUAAGUUGACCGCCUGGGGAGUACGGCCGCAAGGUUAAAACUCAAAUGAAUUGACGGGGGCCCGCACAAGCGGUGGAGCAUGUGGUUUAAUUCGAAGCAACGCGAAGAACCUUACCAGGCCUUGACAUCCAAUGAACUUUCCAGAGAUGGAUUGGUGCCUUCGGGAACAUUGAGACAGGUGCUGCAUGGCUGUCGUCAGCUCGUGUCGUGAGAUGUUGGGUUAAGUCCCGUAACGAGCGCAACCCUUGUCCUUAGUUACCAGCACGUUAUGGUGGGCACUCUAAGGAGACUGCCGGUGACAAACCGGAGGAAGGUGGGGAUGACGUCAAGUCAUCAUGGCCCUUACGGCCUGGGCUACACACGUGCUACAAUGGUCGGUACAGAGGGUUGCCAAGCCGCGAGGUGGAGCUAAUCUCACAAAACCGAUCGUAGUCCGGAUCGCAGUCUGCAACUCGACUGCGUGAAGUCGGAAUCGCUAGUAAUCGCGAAUCAGAAUGUCGCGGUGAAUACGUUCCCGGGCCUUGUACACACCGCCCGUCACACCAUGGGAGUGGGUUGCACCAGAAGUAGCUAG